Molecule: ribosomal RNA, 387 nt
Filed under: uncultured Planctomycetota bacterium
Lineage: Bacteria; Pseudomonadati; Planctomycetota
Description: bacterial SSU rRNA
Rfam family: Bacterial small subunit ribosomal RNA
Source: RNAcentral
UGCACCACACUUACGGGUGGCAGCAGUCGAGAAUCUUCGGCAAUGGGCGAAAGCCUGACCGAGCGACGCCGCGUGUGGGAUGAAGGCCUUCGGGUUGUAAACCGCUGUCAGAGGGGAGGAAUGGGCGGAGGGUAAUCUCUUCGUUUUGACCUAUCCUCAGAGGAAGUACGGGCUAAGUUCGUGCCAGCAGCCGCGGUAAGACGAACCGUACAAACGUUAUUCGGAAUCACUGGGCUUAAAGGGUGCGUAGGCGGCGCUGUAAGUUGGGUGUGAAAUCCCUCGGCUCAACCGAGGAACUGCGCCCAAAACUACAGUGCUUGAGGGAGAUAGAGGUGAGCGGAACUUAGGGUGGAGCGGUGAAAUGCGUUGAUAUCCUAAGGAACGCCA